Molecule: long non-coding RNA, 1553 nt
Organism: Triticum dicoccoides
Lineage: Eukaryota; Viridiplantae; Streptophyta; Magnoliopsida; Poales; Poaceae
Exons: 5
Source: RefSeq, a predicted model, not a curated record
GCGACCCUAAAAAUGUCCCCUAGCAGCAGACAUCGUACGCCUCCGCCGCCAGCCCACAAUGGAGUCCCGGCCGCCGGCUCCCCGACGCUCUUCGCCUCCCCGAAAGGCCGUAUCUCACCACCGUCACGUACUCGCCGGCUCUUCGCACCUCCGAGGUCUCAGCUCUCCCAAAGAUCCUCUCCAACUCGGAGUUCCUCGCGUAGGGAACCGGCUCACACUGGCGUGCGGAGGCGAGGCAUGCCGCCGCUCCUCCGACCAGCCAACCAUAGCGGCGUGGCUCCUCUGACAAGCGGAGGGGCUCUCCUCUCCCACUGGCCGACCUCGACUUCGACUCCUACAGCUGCACUUCGACUUCAGGUCACACUAGCCAGCAUUCUCCGUCGCCAAAUCUUAACCACACCGAGUUCCACCGACAUCAUCGUGAAUCUCCAAUCAGAUAAGUCAGCCUUCAUGUGUAUCGCCCUUUAUAUCUCCACUUUGUUCCUCUUUGUUUUGAUAUAUAUCUCCACUCUGUUCUGAUUGUCAGGAAGAAGGUGGAUUGGUGGCCGUUUCCAGUAUGUACAUGGGACGACAACGGCUGUUCCUUGGUUGAAGGAUGCAAUGCAGCUCGCUGAAUUCCAAGUUGUACUAUUUUGGGUCUGCCUAGAUACCCAAACAGGGGAGAUAAAAGCUGCAAGUUGGGAAGAAAAGCCAGGGAUGAUUCUCAGUGGUACUCUUUACUUGGACUUGCAGCCAAUAUAAAGAGAAGGAGAUUUUUCUUCCAAAUGCUAUAGUUACACUUCACAUCAUUGGGAUCGUGGAUGUUGAUACCAAUUGGAUGUGCUCCCGUGUUGUCCCAAGUGAAGCAAUUUCUCGCUGAUGCGUCAGGCAAAUAAUUUUUUCCCCAAAAGGCAAAGAUACAUAGCUAGCAGUUUAUCUGCGGAUGACUCUUGCUUUGUUGAUUGUUGUGCUUAAUCAAUAUCCAUACAGGACUGAACAGUAUCAGGCCAUCGACCUCACCCUGGGAGUCCACUUCUUCACAGUCACGACAUCCACCUUGACAAAUUAUCUGGAGCAGUUGAGUUCCAGAGACGAAUGGGGAUUGGGGAGGUGAACUUUGAGCUGGAGCUCUCUAUGUGUUCUUGCAAUCACAACGCCGGGGGAUUAUAAGACAACAUACAGUUUGUUCAUUUUCUUUUAGAGUUCAUUCGUCGCAAGGAAAAAAUCUACUUGCUGCCUGAGAACCAAAGCCACAACAGAUCAAGUUACUUGGUCGGAAGAAAUUGUCAAGGGCUGCAGCUUACACAUGAUUGGGAGUGGCGAUCUUAGUCUAUCUCACCUGAGUUACAUGUCAUAAAAAAAGUAGUAUAGAUGUAGAACAACCUACAGUAUAAUGGUACGUCUCAACUAUCUGUCAUAUGUCUUACUAACAUACCUUUUUUUGAACCGGUCUUAUUAUUAUACUUUUUUUGAAGCGGUCUUACUAUUAUACUUUGUAGUGCUUAUAAUUAACGAGUGAUAGAUUCUGAGGUGUACUACUGUUGAUGUGACCAAGGAUGUCCAGUUUUACUUGA